UAACUGCAUAUCGUCUUAGGUGCCCACUAUGGGAGAAUAGGGAAUCGGGUGCAAAUCCCGAACGGGCCCGCCACUGUGAAGCCGAGCCUUAGCCAGAUGCCACCUUGUAAAUUCAGGGGAAGGCGGCUAAAGGCAGUGAAGCCUAGUCAGGAGACCUGCCUAAGACUAGACUGCGCC
RNAcentral lists this non-coding RNA (177 nucleotides) under Peptoclostridium acidaminophilum. Lineage: Bacteria; Bacillati; Bacillota; Clostridia; Peptostreptococcales; Peptoclostridiaceae. The record is from RNAcentral. RNAcentral also lists the same sequence under 1 other name.